AUUGAACGCUGGCGGCAGGCCUAACACAUGCAAGUCGAACGGUAACAGGAAGAAGCUUGCUUCUUUGCUGACGAGUGGCGGCCGGGUGAGUAAUGUCUGUGAAACUGCCUGAUGGAGGGGGAUAACUACUGGAAACGGUAGCUAAUACCGCAUAACGUCGCAAGACCAAAGAGGGGGACCUUCGGGCCUCUUGCCAUCGGAUGUGCCCAGAUGGGAUUAGCUAGUAGGUGGGGUAACGGCUCACCUAGGCGACGAUCCCUAGCUGGUCUGAGAGGAUGACCAGCCACACUGGAACUGAGACACGGUCCAGACUCCUACGGGAGGCAGCAGUGGGGAAUAUUGCACAAAGGGCGCAAGCCUGAUGCAGCCAUGCCGCGUGUAUGAAGAAGGCCUUCGGGUUGUAAAGUACUUUAAGCGGGGAGGAAGGGAGUAAAGUUAAUACCUUUGCUCAUUGACGUUACCCGCAGAAGAAGCACCGGCUAACUCCGUG
Molecule: ribosomal RNA, 490 nt
Filed under: uncultured bacterium
Lineage: Bacteria
Description: partial 16S ribosomal RNA
Rfam family: Bacterial small subunit ribosomal RNA
Source: RNAcentral